RNAcentral lists this long non-coding RNA (554 nucleotides) under Pan troglodytes (chimpanzee). Its description in RNAcentral is "long non-coding RNA NONPTRT007936". Lineage: Eukaryota; Metazoa; Chordata; Mammalia; Primates; Hominidae. The record is from RNAcentral.
GCGGAAGUGGCUUUGUUGACCGGGAGAAACGAGAUGGGGGUGAAGCUGGAGAUAUUUCGGAUGAUAAUCUACCUCACUUUCCCUGUGGCUAUGUUCUGGGUUUCCAAUCAGGCCGAGUGGUUUGAGGACGAUGUCAUACAGCGCAAGAGGGAGCUGUGGCCACCUGAGAAGCCAUGAGUAAGGAACCGAGAGCAGAGGAGUAGAUGGUUUCCUUAUUGCCUUCUCCUGGAAGAGUGAAGCGGAUCCCACGCAGACCCCUUUGUAAUUGGCAGGGGGCUUCCAGUGAAGACACUGAACCCUGAAGCUGUGGUCUGGGGCAGGGUGGUGGGAGAGGUGGGCGGGGGGGGGGUCCCGGCUCUGAGGUGUGUGCCCCUCCCCCCUUCCUGUCCCACCCGCUUCUCCACCCCUAGCUUCAAGAGAUAGAGGAAUUCAAAGAGAGGUUACGGAAGCGGCGGGAGGAGAAGCUCCUUCGCGAUGCCCAGCAAAACUCCUGAAGCCUCCAAGUGGGAGUCCUAGCCCCUCCCCUGAUGAAAUAUACAUAUACUCAGUUCCUU